This 219-nucleotide unclassified non-coding RNA is filed under the name Hevea brasiliensis (rubber tree). Lineage: Eukaryota; Viridiplantae; Streptophyta; Magnoliopsida; Malpighiales; Euphorbiaceae. The record is from RNAcentral.
GCGCGAAGGUUUAUUACCCUCAUUGAUGAAUUAUACAAUCAUCAUUGUUGCCUAUAUUGCUCAGCUGAGACUUCAGUAGAGGAUCUAUUUCAAGGAACAGCAGAAGGAACACUUUUUGAUUUGGAAAGCUUCCAAUUUGAGACAGAGAUAGAAGGUACAAAGCUCCGGCGAGAUGUUUUAGCCGAAGGCAAUGUUAGUUCAGGAGGUGCUCCAUCUGGC